Molecule: ribosomal RNA, 253 nt
Filed under: uncultured bacterium
Lineage: Bacteria
Description: partial 16S ribosomal RNA
Rfam family: Bacterial small subunit ribosomal RNA
Source: RNAcentral
UACGAAGGGGGCUAGCGUUGCUCGGAUUGACUGGGCGUAAAGGGCGCGUAGGCGGAUAGUACAGUCAGGCGUGAAAUUCCUGGGCUCAACCUGGGGGCUGCGUUUGAUACGUGUUGUCUGGAGUUCGGAAGAGGGUCGUGGAAUUCCCAGUGUAGAGGUGAAAUUCGUAGAUAUUGGGAAGAACACCGGUGGCGAAGGCGGCGACCUGGUCCGAUAUUGACGCUGAGGCGCGAAAGCGUGGGGAGCAAACAGG